Molecule: long non-coding RNA, 1800 nt
Organism: Esox lucius (northern pike)
Lineage: Eukaryota; Metazoa; Chordata; Actinopteri; Esociformes; Esocidae
Source: Ensembl
CCGCACAAAUGGUUUGCUAUUAGUAAGGGAUUAACUUACUGACUGACCAAUGUUAACUAGCUUAGUGGUUCGCUACGGAUCCAAAAAUGUCAGCAUUAGAAUUUGUUAAGGAUGGACUAAAACUUUGCUGCCUACAAGCUUCAGUAGCUGUGUUAUACUUAGCCUACAGUAAAACUGUAGGUACAACCUAUUGCGCAGUAAAAGAGGAGGGGUUUCCACGAUUCUCUCCUCUUUUCUCUUGAAGAAAAAGUCAGCAAGGCUCAUGAUUCAGCCUCUGGAGAGACACCUCCUCUAUUAUGGUCUCCUCAAGGAGGCGGGCGAGAGCCGGUUCCGAGGACCAACCAGAGGACACUGACCGGGCCAACCUGGUCCGGGGAUUACCGGACUGCUUUCGUCAAAAUGGAUCUGGGGGCUCGUGGUCAGCCCCUGGAAGUUGAGGGCCGAGCUGAUCGACAACGUCCGUACAUGAUCUCAAUUAAAUGGCCAGCUAGAGUAUUGGCGGGUUAUCCAGAAAAGCAUUGGCUGUAUGGUUGACUGAUAGUAAUGACAGACAAGGCAGUUGUUCAUCCUUUUUACAGGCUAUGUUAUGAUGCAAUAAUCCAUGUUAAUCAUUAACUGUUGAAUGUCUUGACCUUGAGUUGUGUUCUUAAUGGGGAGCUAUUGUUGCUGUAAAAUGUUAGUCAUAUAAUUACAUCAUAAUGCAGAAAGUGUCAUUCUGUGGAAAUAUGGAUCUGUUUUUAUCAAGUAAAAACAAACAGACUGAGUCCUUAAUGGAACCUUGUUCCCAAUGUAAAUCAGGAUCUUUGAUCAAGGCCUGUUGUGAUGUAAACGCCAUUUGGGACACUGAAUUAUAUAUUUGCCAGUUCUGUUGCAUGUAAUCCCAAAAGAACAUCAAUGGUUGCUAAUAACAAAAAAGCAGUAAUUUAUUUGGUAGCCGACCAACUCUUUUUGCCGGACCGCAUAAGUGGAGCCAGCCAAGAAGACCAAAUGUCUCUUACUGACUGACUAGUUGCCUGUUGUUAAAUGGUGGAGUGGUUAGCAAUGUGGACGGCCACACAUUUGACUGGGGUUUGAUCCUUAGCAUGAGCCAAACAAAGUAGGCAUUAGGAUUUGUACAGGAUAGGCUGAAACUUUGCUGGCUACAAGCUUCAGUAGCUACAUUAUAGUAAGCCUAAUGUAAAACUGUUUGCGGUUAUGUUGCAAUGGACAAAUUGGAUGGACAAGGACCAUUUCGGAGACAUUAUUUUCAUUAUAGGUACUGUAUAGCUAUUAGCUACCCAUCUACAAUAAUCUCUUUCUCAUUUCUUAUCGCGGGCCAAUGGAACUAGGCUUGCCUGGUUUCUUGUUUCCCAUUUUCUUCUUUUCUGCUCCUUAAAUCUAAGCCCAACAUGGGCCCACAACAAUGUAAUAUCACUGUUCUACCAGAAGAGGGGGCAACUGCUAUUUGGUUAAUUUAGUGCAUGGUUUUCUAAAUAGUGUUGGGGCCUCCCAUGGGAGCAUGUUUGGCUGUUUCCCUUAUCGCAAAACACUGGAUUCAAAUUGUCACUUUAAUCAAGAUAUGAUUAUUUGAAUGAGUAGUGUUGACCGCUUUGACAAGAAAAUCUAAUAGAGCACAGGAUGAGAGAGCAAGAUUCUCACUUUGACUACGGUCAGUGAUAUCUGACCUGGACUUGUACUGACAAGGCUGGACUACCGAAUUUGGGGCCCGGGGCACUGAACUCCAGAGGGCCCCUCUAAGAAAAACAGCUAACUUCCUGAAUUUCAUCACAUUUCCCAUGAUGAGGAGAUUACUCAUUUCAG